UACGUAGGUGGCGAGCGUUGUCCGGAAUUACUGGGUGUAAAGCGCGUGUAGGCGGGAGGCCAAGUCUGCGGUGAAAUCGCUCGGCUCAACUGGGCGGGGUCCGUGGAAACUGGUCACCUGGAGGACGGUAGAGGCGAGUGGAAUUCCCGGUGUAGUGGUGAAAUGCGUAGAGAUCGGGAGGAAUACCUGUGGCGAAGGCGGCCUACUGGGCCGGACCUGACGCUGAGACGCGAAGGCGUGGGGAGCGAACGGG
This 253-nucleotide ribosomal RNA is filed under the name uncultured bacterium. Its description in RNAcentral is "partial 16S ribosomal RNA". It matches the Rfam family "Bacterial small subunit ribosomal RNA", at positions 524 to 776 of the family's 1533-position model. The record is from RNAcentral.